CCCCCCCCCCCCCCCCCCCCCCCCCCCCCCCCCCCCCCCCCCCCCCCCCCCCCCCCCCCCCCCCCCCCCCCCCCCCCCCCCCCCCCCCCCCCCCCCUUUUUUUUUUUUUUUUGUUUUUUUUUUUUUUUUUUUUUUUUUGUUUUUUUUUUUUUGUUGUUUUUUCCACAGGGAUUCUCCUGGAGAUUCCCAGCUCCCCCUCCUGGCUCUGCCCAAGGGACGCUGGAGGUGACAAUUCCAGGGGUUUGGGAGCCUUUGGAAGGUCGGGCACAGGGAGAGGGGGAAGUGCUUCGUGUGUCUGAUCCCCUCAUCCCGGAAUUCCCGGGGAGAUGGAGGGAGCCAGCUCUGGAUCCAACUCUGGGAAUCCCUGGAGAGCCAGAGGGAUCCACCUCUGGGAAUUCCGGAAGAAUCAGAGGGAUCCAACUCUGAGAAUUUCCAGAGAGCCAGAGGGAUCCAACACUGGAUCCAACACUGGGAAUCCCCAGAGGGAUCCAGCUCUGGGAAUUCCAGAAGAGCCAGAGGGAUCCAGCUCUGGGAAUUCCAGGAGAAUCAGAGGGAUCCAGCUCUGGGAAUUCCAGGAGAGCCAGAGGGAUCCAACACUGGAUCCAACACUGGGAAUUCCCAGAGAGCUGAAGGGAUCCAGCACUGGAUCCAACACUGGGAAUUCCAGGAGAGCCAGAGGGAUCCAACACUGGAUCCAACCCUUGGUGGCCCCAAGCAGGGCCUGGCCCAGCCCAGCUCCCCUGGUUGGGAUCCUGCCUAAAACCCCCAAAUUCCCGGAUUUCCUUCCUCUUCCCAAGCCUGGACUCCCAAACAUUCCAGAGGAGCCAACUCCAGCAUUCCCACUCCCUGGAUUCACCCCCAGGUGCCUCCCACUGACCCCUCUGUGUCCCAAACUGGGGGUGAUCCCAACAUGGAUUUUGGGUGUCCUGUGGGAUCGAUUCCCUGUGUGCAGGAUGGAUCCCAGCAACAUUCCCAGAAUUCCCAGUAUUCCCAGCCCUCUCUCCCUGCUCUCACACCUUCCAGAUUCCCCAGGGUUGGAUUUUGGAAGGACUGGGACAUUUGGGGUCUUUGGGGUCGCAAAUGGGGCUGGAGGCUGCGGGCAGGGAUUUGGGAUUUGAGAUAAAAAGGAUUUGGAAUCCCAGAGCAAUGUAGGGAUUUGGGAUCCUGGAGCAAUCCAGGGAUUUGGGAUUUGAGAUUAAAAGGAUUUGGGAUCCCAGCCCCCCCCCCCCCCCCCCCCCCCCCCCCCCCCCCCCCCCCCCCCCCCCCCCCCCCCCCCCCCCCCCCCCCCCCC
Molecule: long non-coding RNA, 1291 nt
Filed under: Ficedula albicollis (Collared flycatcher)
Lineage: Eukaryota; Metazoa; Chordata; Aves; Passeriformes; Muscicapidae
Description: lncRNA (ENSFALG00000019261.2)
Source: RNAcentral